RNAcentral lists this ribosomal RNA (650 nucleotides) under Rhodococcus opacus. Its description in RNAcentral is "bacterial SSU rRNA". It matches the Rfam family "Bacterial small subunit ribosomal RNA", at positions 41 to 708 of the family's 1533-position model. The record is from RNAcentral. Lineage: Bacteria; Bacillati; Actinomycetota; Actinomycetes; Mycobacteriales; Nocardiaceae.
GGCGUGCUUAACACAUGCAAGUCGAGCGGUAAGGCCCUUCGGGGUACACGAGCGGCGAACGGGUGAGUAACACGUGGGUGAUCUGCCCUGCACUUCGGGAUAAGCCUGGGAAACUGGGUCUAAUACCGGAUAUGACCUUCGGCUGCAUGGCUGUUGGUGGAAAGGUUUACUGGUGCAGGAUGGGCCCGCGGCCUAUCAGCUUGUUGGUGGGGUAAUGGCCUACCAAGGCGACGACGGGUAGCCGACCUGAGAGGGUGACCGGCCACACUGGGACUGAGACACGGCCCAGACUCCUACGGGAGGCAGCAGUGGGGAAUAUUGCACAAUGGGCGAAAGCCUGAUGCAGCGACGCCGCGUGAGGGAUGACGGCCUUCGGGUUGUAAACCUCUUUCAGCAGGGACGAAGCGAGAGUGACGGUACCUGCAGAAGAAGCACCGGCCAACUACGUGCCAACAGCCGCGGUAAUACGUAGGGUGCAAGCGUUGUCCGGAAUUACUGGGCGUAAAGAGCUCGUAGGCGGUUUGUCGCGUCGUCUGUGAAAACUCGAGGCUCAACCUCGAGCUUGCAGGCGAUACGGGCAGACUUGAGUACUGCAGGGGAGACUGGAAUUCCUGGUGUAGCGGUGAAAUGCGCAGAUAUCAGGAGGAACA